CUACGGGUUGCUGCAGUGGGGAAUAUUGGACAAUGGGGGAAACCCUGAUCCAGCAAUGCCGCGUGUGUGAAGAAGGCCUGCGGGUUGUAAAGCACUUUCGGUUGGGAGGACUGCUUCUAGCACUAAUAUUGUUGGAAGUUGACGUUACCUUCAGAAGAAGCACCGGCUAACUCCGUGCCAGCGAGCCGCGGUAAUACGGAGGGUGCAAGCGGUAAUCGGAAUUACUGGCGUAAAGCGCGCGUAGGCGGCUAGAUCAGUCGGGUGUGAAAGCCCCGGGCUUAACCUGGGAACUGCAUCCGAUACUGGCUAGCUUGAGUACAGGAGAGGAGAGUGGAAUUCCACAUGUAGCGGUGAAAUGCGUAGAUAUGUGGAGGAACACCAAUGGCGAAGGCAGCUCUCUGGCCUGAUACUGACGCUGAGGUGCGAAAGCGUGGGGAGCAAACAGGAUUAGAUACCCUUGUAGUC
RNAcentral lists this ribosomal RNA (465 nucleotides) under uncultured bacterium. Its description in RNAcentral is "partial 16S ribosomal RNA". It matches the Rfam family "Bacterial small subunit ribosomal RNA", at positions 339 to 795 of the family's 1533-position model. The record is from RNAcentral.